ACAUACAAAGGAUUAAAGACAUAAUAAUUAAUUAAAUUAUGUUAGCAUUAUAUAUAAAGGCACAAAUUCUCACUUCUCCCUCACUUGGAAUAUAUAUUAUUAAUAAUAUAAUUAAUAAUAACUCUUAUUUAUAUACAAAGAGAUAAAAAAGACAUAAUAAUUAAUUUAAUAUUAAUAAUAAUAUUUAUUGAUUUCCAUAUAUACAUACAUCAUACAUAAAAAGAUAGGCACAACUUAAUUAAAUACAUGCAUAUAAUAUUUACAUACAAAGGAUUAAAGACAUAAUAAUUAAUUAAAUUAUGUUAGCAUUAUAUAUAAAGGCACAAAUUCUCACUUCUCCCUCACUUGGAAUAUAUAUUAUUAAUAAUAUAAUUAAUAAUAACUCUUAUUUAUAUACAAACAGAUAAAAAAGACAUAAUAAUUAAUUUAAUAUUAAUAAUAAUAUUUAUUGAUUUCCAUAUAUACAUACAUCAUACAUAAAAAGAUAGGCACAACUUAAUUAAAUACAUGCAUAUAAUAUUUACAUACAAAGGAUUAAAGACAUAAUAAUUAAUUAAAUUAUGUUAGCAUUAUAUAUAAAGGCACAAAUUCUCACUUCUCCCUCACUUGGAAUAUAUAUUAUUAAUAAUAUAAUUAAUAAUAAUAUAAUUAAUAAUAACUCUUAUUUAUAUACAAAGAGAUAAAAAAGACAUAAUAAUUAAUUUAAUAUUAAUAAUAAUAUUUAUUCAUUUCUAUAUAUACAUACAUCAUACAUAAAAAGAUAGGCACAACUUAAUUAAAUAUAUGCAUAUAAUAUUUAUAUACAAAGGAUUAAAGACAUAAUAAUUAAUUAAAUUAUGUUAGCAUUAUAUAUAAAGGCACAAAUUCUCACUUCUCCCUCACUUGGAAUAUAUAUUAUUAAUAAUAUAAUUAUUAAUAAUAUAAUUAAUAAUAACUCUUAUUUAUAUAUAAAGAGAUAAAAAAGACAUAAUAAUUAAUUUAAUAUUAAUAAUAAUAUUUAUUCAUUUCUAUAUAUACAUACAUUAUACAUAUAUGAAUAAUUGAUUUCUAUAUAUAAAAAAAUUGUUAAAGAAAAAAAAAUUCCAGCCCAACAAGCCCAGCAGGCCGUCACUCCCUCUCCCUUCUCUCCCUCUCUCUGGCAGGUGGGCCCCACCUGUCGGGGUCAUCCCCUACCUCCAGCCGCCGCCGCCACCGCACCGCCCACCACCGCACACCCCGCACCAGCCCCAUCCUCUUCCACCAUCGCCACCGCGGCCAUCCCUUCCCCUUCCACCACCACCACCGCGGCCGCCCCUCUUCCCCGUCCGGGCAGCGCCACCAUCGCGCCCCCACCACCACCACCGCCGCCACGUCGAGGAUGCGCAGGGAGAGAGAGAGAGGGAACACGCGAGCAGGAGAGGCUCUCACCGCGGGGCGGCGUCGGCGUCGAGGGCGGAGGAGACCGUCACCGCGCGACGGCGUCGAGGUCGGCAACAACGGCGGCGAUGGCGGUGGAAAAUUUCGGCAGCGUGUCGGCUUAGUUUGAACGAACAGGGCGCC
Molecule: long non-coding RNA, 1539 nt
Filed under: Sorghum bicolor (sorghum)
Lineage: Eukaryota; Viridiplantae; Streptophyta; Magnoliopsida; Poales; Poaceae
Description: long non-coding RNA (SBIC_LNC002057)
Source: RNAcentral